GAUGAACGCUGGCGGCGUGCCUAAUACAUGCAAGUCGAGCGAACAGACGAGGAGCUUGCUCCUCUGACGUUAGCGGCGGACGGGUGAGUAACACGUGGAUAACCUACCUAUAAGACUGGGAUAACUUCGGGAAACCGGAGCUAAUACCGGAUAAUAUAUUGAACCGCAUGGUUCAAUAGUGAAAGACGGUUUUGCUGUCACUUAUAGAUGGAUCCGCGCCGCAUUAGCGAGUUGGUAAGGUAACGGCUUACCAAGGCAACGAUGCGUAGCCGACCUGAGAGGGUGCUCGGCCACACUGGAACUGAGACACGGUCCAGACUCCUACGGGAGGCAGCAGUAGGGAAUCUUCCGCAAUGGGCGAAAGCUUGACGGAGCAACGCCGCGUGAGUGAUGAAGGUCUUCGGAUCGUAAAACUCUGUUAUUAGGGAAGAACAAAUGUGUAAGUAACUAUGCACGUCUUGACGGUACCUAAUCAGAAAGCCACGGCUAACUACGUG
RNAcentral lists this ribosomal RNA (497 nucleotides) under uncultured bacterium. RNAcentral's name for it is "partial 16S ribosomal RNA". It matches the Rfam family "Bacterial small subunit ribosomal RNA", at positions 28 to 507 of the family's 1533-position model. The record is from RNAcentral.